GCUAAAUGCGGAAGAGAUAAGUGCUGAAAGCAUCUAAGCACGAAACUUGCCCCGAGAUGAGUUCUCCCUGAGACUUAGAGUCUCCUGAAGGAACGUUGAAGACGACGACGUUGAUAGGCCGGGUGUGUAAGCGCAGCGAUGCGUUGAGCUAACCGGUACUAAUGAACCGUGAGGCUUAACCUU
RNAcentral lists this ribosomal RNA (183 nucleotides) under Salmonella enterica subsp. enterica serovar Infantis. RNAcentral's name for it is "partial 23S ribosomal RNA". It matches the Rfam family "Bacterial large subunit ribosomal RNA", at positions 2748 to 2925 of the family's 2925-position model. The record is from RNAcentral. RNAcentral also lists the same sequence under 119 other names. Lineage: Bacteria; Pseudomonadati; Pseudomonadota; Gammaproteobacteria; Enterobacterales; Enterobacteriaceae.